UAAUUUUCUAAAAUUGCAUUGCUUGUUCAUAAACCCUUUCCCCCCUUUCCAGAAACGGGUUCAUAUAUAAACAAUCUCGCCAUUUUCGGCGAUUUAGGGUUCGUUUGUCUCUGCAGAAAAUGGCUGAUUCGCGUGUAAAAAGGUAUUCACGCUCUCCUUCUCCUUGGGAAGAAGAAAAGGUAAGAUCUAGAUCCAGGUUAAGGUCUAGAUCCCAGUCUAGGUCAUGGUCGAGGCCAAGAGGAAGAUCUAGGUCCAGAUCAAGGUCAAGAAGUCAAGGAAGAGUUGAACCUUCUAAUCCUGGCACCACACUUUAUGUAACUGGUUUAUCCACAAGGGUGACACAGAGGGACCUUGAGGAGCAUUUCUCAAAAGAGGGAAAGUUAAAAUCAGCUUUCUUGGUUGUAGAACCGCGUUCUCGUAUAUCUCGUGGUUUUGCUUUUAUAACAAUGGAUAGUCUUGAGGAUGCCAAUCGCUGCAUUAAGCACCUAAAUCAGUCUGUCCUUGAAGGCCGCUACAUAACAGUGGAGAAGUCACGAAGGAAACGCCCGAGGACUCCAACACCUGGUCACUAUCUAGGGCUUAAGAACGCAAGGGGCGAUGGUUUUCGUGGCGUUGAUCGUGGUGGUGACCGUGGUAGGUAUCGUGGCCGUGAGGACUAUGGGCGCCUUGAAGACUAUGGGUACAGAAGAUCUCCUCCAAGGCGUUUGCCUUACCGAGAUUAUUCUCCUAGGCGCUCGCCUUACGGGGGAAGGUCAAGAAGGGAACGAUCCAGGUCAUAUUCUCCUUAUGAAAGGAAGUAUGGUAGAUAGGCUGAAAACUGUUUGUUAAGGAUCUUUAUGCAAUAAUAGACAUUAAAUUCUAUACAUUUGAAUGAGACUCAAACUAAAGCAAUUGAACGACAUUGAAAACAUAUAGAAUAUUCAAUAACUGUGA
This is an RNA transcript of Solanum pennellii, 933 nucleotides long. It is a transcript of the gene named serine/arginine-rich splicing factor SR45a-like, with no coding region annotated. The record is from RefSeq and is a predicted model, not a curated record. Lineage: Eukaryota; Viridiplantae; Streptophyta; Magnoliopsida; Solanales; Solanaceae. The transcript has 7 exons.